RNAcentral lists this long non-coding RNA (860 nucleotides) under Rattus norvegicus (Norway rat). Its description in RNAcentral is "long non-coding RNA NONRATT012416". The record is from RNAcentral. Lineage: Eukaryota; Metazoa; Chordata; Mammalia; Rodentia; Muridae.
CCCAUCCUCCAACUCUUACAUUCAUUCUGCCCCCUCUUCCACAAUGUCCCCCGAGCCUCAAAAGGGGUAAUUGUAGGUACCCUGUUUAGGCCUGAGCACUUAGCAGUCACUAAUCCUUACCACUGUCUUCGAUUAUGAGUUUGCAUUGAUAACUGUGAUAGCUGCCCACUUCAAAAAGAAACGUCUCCGGCCCCAGCUGAGAGCAGUCCAUCUAUAAUAAAUCCUGAAAUUCUAACCUCCAGUACUGACCUCUCCUGAAUACUUACCUCAUGGCUUUGGUUUUCAGAAAUCAUGAGGUCCAACGGAUUUUGUUUGGCAAACACAGAAACAAUAGUCAUUGACCACAGCAUACCCAAUGGGAAGGACCAGCUCCUGGAUGCGGAUUCCACAGAGCAUUUGUUUGAGAAUGGUGGUGAGUUCACCUCAGAGUUGGAAGAUGGUGAUGACCCAGCAGCUUACGUCACCAACUUGUCCUAUUACCAUCUGGUUCCAUUUGAGACGGACAUUUUGGACUGAGCCUCUCCACAGGGCCUUGUCUGCCUCUAUUCUUGACUGCAUGUCCUCUUGCUAUCUACUGUGUGUCCCCAAGGGCCAACGCUGCUGUUCACCUGGGCCUCUGAGGGCCCUGAAGUUCAACAGGCCUGGGUUUUUAGAAAGCGGAGGAGGCACAAGGGAUCUUGAUGACCACAGGCAGCUCUGAGGGCCUUCUCCCUGCACUCAGCCUGCCUUUUAUGGGACACACUAUUCCUGCAGACCAUGCUUCCUCUUGUCUCUGCUGGCUUGGGGAGCAUUCCUCUUGGUCACAUGGCCCUGACUCCCCACUUUUCUCUUGUGUAUCAAAGGCACUAAGCUUUUCAAGA